GGCGGCGUGCCUAAUACAUGCAAGUAGAACGCUGAAGGAGGAGCUUGCUUCUCUGGAUGAGUUGCGAACGGGUGAGUAACGCGUAGGUAACCUGCCUGGUAGCGGGGGAUAACUAUUGGAAACGAUAGCUAAUACCGCAUAAGAGUAGAUGUUGCAUGACAUUUGCUUAAAAGGUGCAAUUGCAUCACUACCAGAUGGACCUGCGUUGUAUUAGCUAGUUGGUGGGGUAACGGCUCACCAAGGCGACGAUACAUAGCCGACCUGAGAGGGUGAUCGGCCACACUGGGACUGAAACACGGCCCAGACUCCUACGGGAGGCAGCAGUAGGGAAUCUUCGGCAAUGGACGGAAGUCUGACCGAGCAACGCCGCGUGAGUGAAGAAGGUUUUCGGAUCGUAAAGCUCUGUUGUAAGAGAAGAACGAGUGUGAGAAGUGGAAAGUUUCACACUGUGACGG
RNAcentral lists this ribosomal RNA (455 nucleotides) under Streptococcus mitis. RNAcentral describes it as "bacterial SSU rRNA". It matches the Rfam family "Bacterial small subunit ribosomal RNA", at positions 38 to 475 of the family's 1533-position model. Lineage: Bacteria; Bacillati; Bacillota; Bacilli; Lactobacillales; Streptococcaceae. The record is from RNAcentral.